Molecule: ribosomal RNA, 414 nt
Filed under: Ameloctopus litoralis
Lineage: Eukaryota; Metazoa; Mollusca; Cephalopoda; Octopoda; Octopodidae
Description: partial 12S ribosomal RNA
Source: RNAcentral
UUUUUUAGUGUAAAAUUUGAUUUAGAUUUACCUAAGUAUUAAGAAUGUAAUUUGAAGUUAUUUAAAACUUAAAAAAUUUGGCGGUUUUACAUAUCCAGUUAGGGGAGUUUGUUAAUUGAUUUGAUAAUCCACAUUUUAGACUUACUUUUUUUUGAAUAUUAUAUAUAUAUAUAUAUAUAAUUCAGUUUAUAUAUUGCUGUCGUCAGUAUAUAUUUUGAGAUAAGGGACUAAAUAAAUUUUAAUAUUUUUAUGUCAAGUCAUAAUGUAGCUGAUAAAAAAGAUUUAAUGGACUACUAUUAUUAAUAUUGUUUAUAUUAUAUAUCCGGAUAGUGAAUUUUUAUAUUUAUUGGAAGGUGGACUUAAUAGUAAAUUAUAAUUAGCAUGUAUUGUUGAAUAUUUAGGUUUUGUAAAAUG